AAGAGUGCGGUGAUGAUACAAUUUUCGUGGACUAGAGUUUCUGAUCUGGGUCUCAAAAUCCAGAAGCUGAUUAACAACCCUUGGCUGUCUGAGCAUUCUU
This is a small nucleolar RNA of Ziziphus jujuba (common jujube), 100 nucleotides long. RefSeq annotates it as small nucleolar RNA Z157/R69/R10. NCBI's taxonomy places the organism in Eukaryota, Viridiplantae, Streptophyta, Magnoliopsida, Rosales, Rhamnaceae. The transcript has a single exon. The record is from RefSeq and is a predicted model, not a curated record.